CCCAUCGAUGACCAAGAGUUAAUCUCCUACAUCCUCAUCGGCCUCGACUACGAGUACAAUCCUAUCGUGUCUGCCCUUGUUUCAAGGGCAGAUGCAAUUAGCGUUGGGAAGGUAUAUGCACAUCUGCUCAGCUUUGAGC
This 139-nucleotide small nucleolar RNA is filed under the name Dichanthelium oligosanthes. RNAcentral describes it as "Small nucleolar RNA Z247". It matches the Rfam family "Small nucleolar RNA Z247". Rfam says of the family: Z247 is a member of the C/D class of snoRNA which contain the C (UGAUGA) and D (CUGA) box motifs. Most of the members of the box C/D family function in directing site-specific 2'-O-methylation of substrate RNAs. The record is from Rfam by way of RNAcentral. Lineage: Eukaryota; Viridiplantae; Streptophyta; Magnoliopsida; Poales; Poaceae.